GUGCUCGUCUAUUUUCCCCAUUGUGCCUGCACUCCGUGAAAUGAGGAACAGCGUCCCAGUCCUGCUUUUCUUUCCCACCUACAGGAGAUUCCUCCCGGGAAGCUGAGCCUCUCCCUGUCCACCUCCAGCCCGGAAUCCUGGUGGGCUCUGGUUGCAGAGGGGGUCCUGGGAGCUGCCUCCCUUUGGCUGUGCUGGGACAGACCCUUCUAGCCUGGUGGUGACCUGCAGGACAGACUGAAUGGCUGACAACCCUGGGACAUGACCAACUCUCUGAACCCCCCACAGUCACUACCCGUCACCAUGGCACUCUCCUGGGCUCAGCCAAGUCCACUCCAGGUGUUCCCAGUCCCUGGCCAUUUCUCAACCAGGAGAUGACACGCCGGGACAGUUCAGUGAGGGUUCUGGGAGUCGGUAUCCUCUGCUAAAGGUUCACUAUUUCUCAGAAGUUCAAAAGCAAAGGACCAGGAUAUGAAUCCCGGAAACAAGACUAGUUCUGGCAUUGUCCUCCCAGGACCACUCAAAUGACAACCUGAACUUGUUAGGGGAUGGCCAAGUCCACCUUCACGUUGCCAUUACAUCCCGCUCUCAAAUGUCUCCUCCCCCCGAGGCUUUCCCGGACACAGAGGUGUCCCACCAACUCCAUGAUAGCCUGGGAAAGUGGAAGCUGGGAUGAUGGCGAUGUGAUUUCUAACCCGGCAGACCCUGGAUUU
Tupaia belangeri chinensis (Chinese tree shrew) is the source of this 710-nucleotide long non-coding RNA. RefSeq lists it as uncharacterized. The transcript is spliced from 2 exons. Lineage: Eukaryota; Metazoa; Chordata; Mammalia; Scandentia; Tupaiidae. The record is from RefSeq and is a predicted model, not a curated record.